RNAcentral lists this ribosomal RNA (429 nucleotides) under Bacteroidota bacterium. RNAcentral describes it as "Bacteroidetes bacterium partial 16S ribosomal RNA". It matches the Rfam family "Bacterial small subunit ribosomal RNA", at positions 355 to 776 of the family's 1533-position model. The record is from RNAcentral. Lineage: Bacteria; Pseudomonadati; Bacteroidota.
UAGGGAAUCUUCCGCAAUGGACGCAAGUCUGACGGAGCAACGCCGCGCGAGUGAAGAAGGAUUUCGGUUCGUAAAACUCUGUUGUUAGAGAAGAACAGCGCAUAGAGUAACUGUUAUGCGUGUGACGGUAUCUAACCAGAAAGCCACGGCUAACUACGUGCCAGCAGCCGCGGUAAUACGUAGGUGGCAAGCGUUGUCCGGAUUUAUUGGGCGUAAAGCGAGCGCAGGCGGUCAAUUAAGUCUGAUGUGAAAGCCCCCGGCUCAACCGGGGAGGGUCAUUGGAAACUGGUUGACUUGAGUGCAGAAGAGGAGAGUGGAAUUCCAUGUGUAGCGGUGAAAUGCGUAGAUAUAUGGGGGAACACCAGUGGCGAAGGCGACUCUCUGGUCUGUAACUGACGCUGAGGCUCGAAAGCGUGGGUAGCAAACAGG